UACAGACCCAGGUACUGAUAGCUCAUUCUGGAGGUCUCAACUUUCAUUGGGAGAUGGGCUCAGGAUUUUUCAAGCUCUUGCCUCAGAGGACACAACAGAUCACUUGGAGGCAUGAUUGCAUAAAAUGGAUAAAAACUGGAAAAAUACCUGUACGUAGCAACGGUUUGCUCCAGUAAGGCGUAGCUAAACUGAAAAGGACCCAUGCAGCUCUCCUAAUGUGAUUCACCAAGAUAAUUCCAUCAAUGUUCAACCAUCAUAUGAAGCCAAUAUAUUAAAACAGAAUUUUACAUCUGAGUCUUACUUUUAUAUCAAGGAUUUUUAUGAAUGUGUCAGCAUGUUAUUUUUCAAAUAUUAUGUUUCAGACUAAAAUUGUUUUAUAUAAUUCUUGCAAAUAUGAAAUACAGGUUUGUGAAAAAAUA
Long non-coding RNA from Xenopus tropicalis (tropical clawed frog), 419 nucleotides. RefSeq lists it as uncharacterized. The transcript is spliced from 2 exons. NCBI's taxonomy places the organism in Eukaryota, Metazoa, Chordata, Amphibia, Anura, Pipidae. The record is from RefSeq and is a predicted model, not a curated record.